This 28-nucleotide non-coding RNA is filed under the name Homo sapiens (human). The record is from RNAcentral. Lineage: Eukaryota; Metazoa; Chordata; Mammalia; Primates; Hominidae.
CAGUCUCCGCAGAUGAGCCUACUGCCUC